This 252-nucleotide ribosomal RNA is filed under the name uncultured Gardnerella sp. Its description in RNAcentral is "partial 16S ribosomal RNA". It matches the Rfam family "Bacterial small subunit ribosomal RNA", at positions 103 to 356 of the family's 1533-position model. Lineage: Bacteria; Bacillati; Actinomycetota; Actinomycetes; Bifidobacteriales; Bifidobacteriaceae. The record is from RNAcentral.
CGGGUGAGUAAUGCGUGACCAACCUGCCCCAUGCUCCAGAAUAGCUCUUGGAAACGGGUGGUAAUGCUGUAUGCUCCAACUUGACGCAUGUCUUGUUGGGAAAGUGUUUAGUGGCAUGGGAUGGGGUCGCGUCCUAUCAGCUUGUAGGCGGGGUAAUGGCCCACCUAGGCUUCGACGGGUAGCCGGCCUGAGAGGGCGGACGGCCACAUUGGGACUGAGAUACGGCCCAGACUCCUACGGGAGGCAGCAGUG